UCAUAUGCCAGCAAUUCCCCUCUGCUAUGUACAUCGGACAGAACAGACUUCAAAGAGAAACUGCUGAGCUUCAGUUCAUCUGCAAAUUUGACACCAUCAGCUCAGGAUUAAACAAAGACUGUGAAUGGCUUGCCAAUUACAAAACCAGUUUCUCCUCCCUUGGUUUUCACACCUCAGCUGCUAGAAGAGGGCCUCAUCCUCCCUGAUUGAACUAACCUCAUUAUCUCUAGUUUGCCUGCAUAUAUAUAUACCUGCCCCUGGAAAUUUCCACUACAUGCAUCUGAUGAAAUGGGUAUUCACCCACGAAAGCUCAUGCUCCAAAACGUCUGUUAGUCUACAAGGUGCCACAGGAUUCUUUGCUGCUUUUACACUUUUCUUCUUUAUCAAACAUGAUCUUUUCUUAACAGUCCUUGGGUUAUAUCAGCAGGCCUUUUUUGUCUGGGAUAAUUUAGUCUGUCUCCUUUUUGCACCUCUUCCCAUUAACUUUUUGUUAUAGAUUAUUGUGACAUCUUAAGAACUUUCAUGUACUGUAGCGAGGCGGCGUGUCCUCCCUCUGACACAGAGGUAACUUCACAAGCCGCCAGGAGGGCUAUGCCACACACGCUGGAAGCAGAGGGGGAGAACAGGAAGGGGAAGUAUAAAAGGACGGCCCAGCAGCUCAGUUGACAGACAGCUUCUGAAGGAGACAGAUGCUUCUUCCCUGCUGCUGGAGUGAGACACCAAGGAGAACCGCUGCUGCCCCAGAGACCAGCCUGAGCUUCCAGAAAGCCCUGCCAUGCCUGCUGCUGCUGCUACUCUUGGCAGUUAUCCCAGGGGGACUGAGGACGACCCCUGGGCGCAGAAGACUAGCCGUAGCAGACCAAACUGAGAGGAGGCAUGGCCUCUCUCAGAAGCAGAUGCACGCCAGCUUACGUGUACUUUUUACAGCUCAGAAUUAAGGAACGCUCGCAGAUCCAAUUAUCACACCAGGUCACACUAUAAAGACUGAUAAAACUUUAAGAGACUAUCAGAGGGCCACGUGUUUUGAUGCCAUGGCUGAAGCAUGUUAUGUGGAAAGGUUAUGUCUGAAUAUGUGUAACAGAA
Molecule: long non-coding RNA, 1083 nt
Organism: Gopherus flavomarginatus (Mexican gopher tortoise)
Lineage: Eukaryota; Metazoa; Chordata; Testudines; Testudinidae
Exons: 3
Source: RefSeq, a predicted model, not a curated record